Molecule: ribosomal RNA, 253 nt
Filed under: uncultured bacterium
Lineage: Bacteria
Description: partial 16S ribosomal RNA
Rfam family: Bacterial small subunit ribosomal RNA
Source: RNAcentral
UACGGGGGGGGCAAGCGUUGUUCGGAAUUACUGGGCGUAAAGGGCUCGUAGGCGGCCAACUAAGUCAGACGUGAAAUCCCUCGGCUUAACCGGGGAACUGCGUCUGAUACUGGAUGGCUAGAGGUUGGGAGAGGGAUGCGGAAUUCCCGGUGUAGAGGUGAAAUUCGUAGAUAUCGGGAGGAACACCAGUGGCGAAGGCGGCGACCUGGACAGAUAUUGACGCUGAGGUGCGAAAGCGUGGGGAGCAAACAGG